This 506-nucleotide ribosomal RNA is filed under the name Lactobacillus acidophilus. Its description in RNAcentral is "bacterial SSU rRNA". It matches the Rfam family "Bacterial small subunit ribosomal RNA", at positions 28 to 501 of the family's 1533-position model. The record is from RNAcentral. Lineage: Bacteria; Bacillati; Bacillota; Bacilli; Lactobacillales; Lactobacillaceae.
GACGAACGCUGGCGGCGUGCCUAAUACAUGCAAGUCGAGCGAGCUGAACCAACAGAUUCACUUCGGUGAUGACGUUGGGAACGCGAGCGGCGGAUGGGUGAGUAACACGUGGGGAACCUGCCCCAUAGUCUGGGAUACCACUUGGAAACAGGUGCUAAUACCGGAUAAGAAAGCAGAUCGCAUGAUCAGCUUAUAAAAGGCGGCGUAAGCUGUCGCUAUGGGAUGGCCCCGCGGUGCAUUAGCUAGUUGGUAGGGUAACGGCCUACCAAGGCAAUGAUGCAUAGCCGAGUUGAGAGACUGAUCGGCCACAUUGGGACUGAGACACGGCCCAAACUCCUACGGGAGGCAGCAGUAGGGAAUCUUCCACAAUGGACGAAAGUCUGAUGGAGCAACGCCGCGUGAGUGAAGAAGGUUUUCGGAUCGUAAAGCUCUGUUGUUGGUGAAGAAGGAUAGAGGUAGUAACUGGCCUUUAUUUGACGGUAAUCAACCAGAAAGUCACGGCUAAC